Molecule: small nucleolar RNA, 134 nt
Organism: Candoia aspera
Lineage: Eukaryota; Metazoa; Chordata; Lepidosauria; Squamata; Candoiidae
Source: RefSeq, a predicted model, not a curated record
UCCCUUCAAAAAGCACUCGUUGGGUCUUUUUUCUAGUGGCCCAGGGAGUUGUCGUGGAAGGGUAAAGAAAUAGCAUUACUCUUGGGUGAGGUGACGGCUUGUGCUGUUAUGCCUCAAUCGGUGAUGCCACAAAA